RNAcentral lists this ribosomal RNA (228 nucleotides) under uncultured bacterium. RNAcentral describes it as "partial 16S ribosomal RNA". It matches the Rfam family "Bacterial small subunit ribosomal RNA", at positions 568 to 795 of the family's 1533-position model. The record is from RNAcentral.
UGUGUAGGCGGAAAAAUAAGCGUCGCGUGAAAUCCCCCGGCUUAACCGGGGAACUGCGUGGCGAACUGUUUUUCUUGAGGCAAGUAGGGGUACAUGGAACUCUUGGUGGAGCGGUGGAAUGCGUAGAUAUCAAGGGGAACGCCAGUGGUGAAAACGAUGUACUGGGCUUGUUCUGACGCUGAGACACGAAAGCGUGGGGAGCGAACAGGAUUAGAUACCCUGGUAGUC